This is a long non-coding RNA of Pan troglodytes (chimpanzee), 647 nucleotides long. RefSeq lists it as uncharacterized. The transcript has 4 exons. The record is from RefSeq and is a predicted model, not a curated record. NCBI's taxonomy places the organism in Eukaryota, Metazoa, Chordata, Mammalia, Primates, Hominidae.
ACAGAGACUGCACAGGCCUCCAGCACUGCAAGGGCAACCCAGAAGAGAGACAACUUGCUAAGCCUUUCAAAAGAAUGGGGAAGUAUUGGUUCCAGACCUGCUGCAGAGAGAGGCUCAAAGAGACUCGGCACUGGCAGAACAAAGAAACCUAGGAGGGAAGCUUUGCUCCAAAAGAGAGGUUUUGCUUCAGGAGAAGACUGUUCCAAGGAAAGAGAGACUGGCUGUUUCAAACUCAAAAAAGCUGAUCUUAUGGCUCUUAGCAAAAUAGUGGUGUCUUUAAGAGUUGAUUGGGCUCCUUCCUCCUGAGUGGGUUUAAGUACCUUACAAAAGAGGCUUCAAGCAGUAUUCAGCUCUCUUGCCCUUCCGCUCUCUGCUAUGUGAAGACACAGUGUUCCUCCCCUCUCCCUUCUGGAAGACACAGCGACAAUGUGCCAUAUCGGAAGGAAGCAGAGAACAUCCCUCACCAAAUAAUCAAUCCUGCUGGUGCCUUAAUUAUGAACUUCUCAGCCUGCAGAACUCAUGAAGGCCAUCAUCGGAUGUGGGCUGAUUGAUCUUGGACUUCCAAGCCUCCAGAACUAGAACUACUCCACCAUCAUCUGAUGUGGUUCUGAUGGCUGUGUGUUUCUCACCUUUAUCCUCAGCCUGUG